Molecule: ribosomal RNA, 99 nt
Filed under: Acinetobacter baumannii ABNIH20
Lineage: Bacteria; Pseudomonadati; Pseudomonadota; Gammaproteobacteria; Moraxellales; Moraxellaceae
Description: partial 16S ribosomal RNA
Rfam family: Bacterial small subunit ribosomal RNA
Source: RNAcentral
AACUGAAGAGUUUGAUCAUGGCUCAGAUUGAACGCUGGCGGCAGGCUUAACACAUGCAAGUCGAGCGGGGGAAGUAGCUUGCUACUGGACCUAGCGGCG